GACGAACGCUGGCGGCGUGCUUAACACAUGCAAGUCGAACGGUACUUAACCGGUAGUAAUAUUGGUUAAGUAUAGUGGCGGACGGGUGAGUAACGCGUGAGCGACCUACCUUAAAGAGGGGGACAACAUUCGGAAACGGAUGCUAAUACCGCAUAAGACCACAGGGACGCAUGUUCCAGGGGUCAAAGGAGAAAUCCGCUUUAAGAUGGGCUCGCGUCCCAUUAGCUAGUUGGUGAGGUAACGGCUCACCAAGGCGACGAUGGGUAGCCGACCUGAGAGGGUGAUCGGCCACACUGGAACUGAGACACGGUCCAGACUCCUACGGGAGGCAGCAGUGGGGAAUAUUGGGCAAUGGGCGAAAGCCUGACCCAGCAACGCCGCGUGAUUGAAGAAGGCCUUCGGGUUGUAAAGAUCUGUCCUAUGGGACGAAAAAAAUGACGGUACCAUAGGAGGAAGCUCCGGCUAACUACGUG
RNAcentral lists this ribosomal RNA (473 nucleotides) under uncultured organism. RNAcentral describes it as "bacterial SSU rRNA". It matches the Rfam family "Bacterial small subunit ribosomal RNA", at positions 28 to 507 of the family's 1533-position model. The record is from RNAcentral.